AUUUAUAUAGUUUAAUUUUAAAACAUUAUAUUUUCAUUAUAAAAAAAAUAUUAUUUUAUUUAUAAAUU
RNAcentral lists this transfer RNA (68 nucleotides) under Acropyga kinomurai. Its description in RNAcentral is "tRNA-Glu". Lineage: Eukaryota; Metazoa; Arthropoda; Insecta; Hymenoptera; Formicidae. The record is from RNAcentral.